UACGAAGGGGGCAAGCGUUGUUCGGAAUGACUGGGCGUAAAGGGCGCGUAGGCGGUUCGUUGCGUCAGAUGUGAAAGCCCCGGGCUCAACCUGGGAACUGCGUCCGAUACUGGCAGGCUUGAAUCCGGGAGAGGGAUGCGGAAUUCCAGGUGUAGCGGUGAAAUGCGUGGAUAUCUGGAGGAACACCGGUGGCGAAGGCGGCAUCCUGGACCGGCAUUGACGCUGAGGCGCGAAAGCCAGGGGAGCAAACGGG
RNAcentral lists this ribosomal RNA (253 nucleotides) under uncultured bacterium. Its description in RNAcentral is "partial 16S ribosomal RNA". It matches the Rfam family "Bacterial small subunit ribosomal RNA", at positions 524 to 776 of the family's 1533-position model. The record is from RNAcentral.